Caenorhabditis elegans is the source of this 21-nucleotide non-coding RNA. Lineage: Eukaryota; Metazoa; Nematoda; Chromadorea; Rhabditida; Rhabditidae. The record is from Ensembl.
UUAGUACUGGCACUCUAGAGA